Aedes albopictus (Asian tiger mosquito) is the source of this 48-nucleotide non-coding RNA. Lineage: Eukaryota; Metazoa; Arthropoda; Insecta; Diptera; Culicidae. The record is from Rfam.
CAAACGGUUCUUUUCAGGACCAUAGAAAAUUAUUCCUCAAAGAGUUGU